This 500-nucleotide ribosomal RNA is filed under the name uncultured bacterium. Its description in RNAcentral is "partial 16S ribosomal RNA". It matches the Rfam family "Bacterial small subunit ribosomal RNA", at positions 30 to 523 of the family's 1533-position model. The record is from RNAcentral.
AUUGAACGCUGGCGGAAUGCUUUACACAUGCAAGUCGAACGGCAGCACGGACUUCGGUCUGGUGGCGAGUGGCGAACGGGUGAGUAAUGUAUCGGAACGUGCCCAGUCGUGGGGGAUAACGUAGUGAAAAUUACGCUAAUACCGCAUACGAUCUAUGGAUGAAAGCGGGGGAUCGCAAGACCUCGCGCGAUUGGAGCGGCCGAUAUCAGAUUAGGUAGUUGGUGGGGUAAAGGCCCACCAAGCCAACGAUCUGUAGCUGGUCUGAGAGGACGACCAGCCACACUGGAAGUGGGGCACGGUCCAGACUCCUACGGGAGGCAGCAGUGGGGAAUUUUGGACAAUGGGCGAAAGCCUGAUCCAGCCAUUCCGCGUGCAGGAUGAAGGCCCUCGGGUUGUAAACUGCUUUUGUACAGAACGAAAAGGUUUCUACUAAUACUAGGAGCUCAUGACGGUACUGUAAGAAUAAGCACCGGCUAACUACGUGCCAGCAGCCGCCGUAA